Molecule: ribosomal RNA, 449 nt
Filed under: uncultured bacterium
Lineage: Bacteria
Description: partial 16S ribosomal RNA
Rfam family: Bacterial small subunit ribosomal RNA
Source: RNAcentral
AACGAACGCUGGCGGCAGGCCUAACACAUGCAAGUCGAACGGACCCUUCGGGGUUAGUGGCGCACGGGUGAGUAACGCGUGGGAACGUGCCCUUCAGUACGGAACAACACCGGGAAACUGGUGCUAAUACCGUAUAAUAUCUCCGGAUCAAAGAUUUAUCGCUGAAGGAUCGGCCCGCGUCUGAUUAGGUAGUUGGUAGGGUAAUGGCCUACCAAGCCUACGAUCAGUAGCUGGUUUGAGAGAAUGAUCAGCCACACUGGGACUGAGACACGGCCCAGACUCCUACGGGAGGCAGCAGUGAGGAAUAUUGGACAAUGGGCGAAAGCCUGAUCCAGCCAUGCCGCGUGAGUGAUGAAGGCCUUAGGGUUGUAAAGCUCUUUCGGCGGGGAUGAUAAUGACCGUACCCGCAGAAGAAGCCACGGCUAAAUUCGUGCCAGCAGCCGCAGUAA